Molecule: ribosomal RNA, 301 nt
Filed under: uncultured bacterium
Lineage: Bacteria
Description: partial 16S ribosomal RNA
Rfam family: Bacterial small subunit ribosomal RNA
Source: RNAcentral
CAGUAGCCACGGUAAUACAGAGGGUGCGAGCGUUAAUCGGAUUUACUGGGCGUAAAGCGUGCGUAGGCGGCUUUUUAAGUCGGAUGUGAAAUCCCUGAGCUUAACUUAGGAAUUGCAUUCGAUACUGGGAAGCUAGAGUAUGGGAGAGGAUGGUAGAAUUCCAGGUGUAGCGGUGAAAUGCGUAGAGAUCUGGAGUAAUACCGAUGGCGAAGGCAGCCAUCUGGCCUAAUACUGACGCUGAGGUACGAAAGCAUGGGGAGCAAACAGGAUUAGAUACCCCUGUAGUCCCUGUCUCUUAUAC